RNAcentral lists this ribosomal RNA (432 nucleotides) under uncultured bacterium. RNAcentral's name for it is "partial 16S ribosomal RNA". It matches the Rfam family "Bacterial small subunit ribosomal RNA", at positions 29 to 506 of the family's 1533-position model. The record is from RNAcentral.
AACGAACGCUGGCGGCAGGCCUAACACAUGCAAGUCGAGCGCGCCCUUCGGGGUGAGCGGCGGACGGGUGAGUAACGCGUGGGAACGUACCCUUUGCUACGGAAUAGCCUCGGGAAACUGAGAGUAAUACCGUAUACGCCCUUUGGGGGAAAGAUUUAUCGGCAAAGGAUCGGCCCGCGUUGGAUUAGGUAGUUGGUGGGGUAAUGGCCCACCAAGCCGACGAUCCAUAGCUGGUUUGAGAGGAUGAUCAGCCACACUGGGACUGAGACACGGCCCAGACUCCUACGGGAGGCAGCAGUGGGGAAUCUUAGACAAUGGGGGCAACCCUGAUCUAGCCAUGCCGCGUGAGUGAUGAAGGCCUUAGGGUUGUAAAGCUCUUUCAGCUGGGAAGAUAAGGACGGUACCAGCAGAAGAAGCCCCGGCUAACUCCGU